UGGAAGACUAGUGAUUUUGUUGUGAAAAUGAACAAAAACCAACAACAAACCGCAGUCGUCCUCU
RNAcentral lists this microRNA precursor (64 nucleotides) under Danio rerio (zebrafish). RNAcentral describes it as "Dre-Mir-7-P4b_pre stem-loop". The record is from RNAcentral. RNAcentral also lists the same sequence under 1 other name. Lineage: Eukaryota; Metazoa; Chordata; Actinopteri; Cypriniformes; Danionidae.